CGGAGGGUGCGAGCGUUGUCCGGAAUCACUGGGCGUAAAGGGCGCGUAGGUGGCGCAGGCCGUCAACGGUGAAAGUUCGGGGCUCAACCCUGAAUCGGCCGUCGAUACUCCUGGGCUCGAGCACUGUAGAGGCAGAUGGAAUUCCGGGUGUAGCGGUGGAAUGCGUAGAGAUCCGGAAGAACACCGGUGGCGAAGGCGGUCUGCUGGGCAGUUGCUGACACUGAGGCGCGACAGCGUGGGGAGCAAACAGG
Molecule: ribosomal RNA, 251 nt
Filed under: uncultured bacterium
Lineage: Bacteria
Description: partial 16S ribosomal RNA
Rfam family: Bacterial small subunit ribosomal RNA
Source: RNAcentral